GGUGGGAGGGCGGUGAAUACAAUACCCUUCGGGGGAAUAAACCCGCCUGUCUCUUUUCAGGUUCUAAACCUCCCGCCACCAGUGG
Molecule: non-coding RNA, 85 nt
Filed under: Kiloniella litopenaei
Lineage: Bacteria; Pseudomonadati; Pseudomonadota; Alphaproteobacteria; Rhodospirillales; Kiloniellaceae
Description: sRNA-Xcc1
Rfam family: sRNA-Xcc1
Source: Rfam by way of RNAcentral